RNAcentral lists this transfer RNA (72 nucleotides) under Anaerolineae bacterium. RNAcentral's name for it is "tRNA-Cys". It matches the Rfam family "tRNA". From Rfam's summary of the family: Transfer RNA (tRNA) molecules are approximately 80 nucleotides in length. The record is from RNAcentral. Lineage: Bacteria; Bacillati; Chloroflexota; Anaerolineae.
GGCGACGUGGCCAAGCGGCUAAGGCAGAGGUCUGCAAAACCUCCAUCACCGGUUCGAAUCCGGUCGUCGCCU